Molecule: small nuclear RNA, 107 nt
Organism: Microcebus murinus (gray mouse lemur)
Lineage: Eukaryota; Metazoa; Chordata; Mammalia; Primates; Cheirogaleidae
Source: Ensembl
GUGCUUGCUUCGGCAGCACAUACACUAAGAUUGGAACCAUACAGAGAAGAUUGGCCUGGCCCCUGUGCAAGGCUGGCAAACAAAUUCGUGAAGCGUUCCCUGUUUUU